Lycium barbarum (goji berry) is the source of this 3572-nucleotide long non-coding RNA. RefSeq lists it as uncharacterized. Lineage: Eukaryota; Viridiplantae; Streptophyta; Magnoliopsida; Solanales; Solanaceae. The record is from RefSeq and is a predicted model, not a curated record. The transcript is spliced from 3 exons.
UAAUAACUUGUUAAUUAUUUGAUUAGUUAGUUAAUUGUUUAUUUAUUAAUUAUUUAUACUAAUUGUUAAUUAUUUGACUUAUUAAUUUUUAAUCUUUAUAUUUUAGAAUUGAAAACCCUUAGUUUAGGAUUCAUAACCCGUAGCUUAGGAUUGAAAACCCUUAAUAUAAUUUUCGAUAAAAGAUUACAUAACUAAUAUUACUUGUUAAUGAUUUAUUUAAAAUACGUAAAACAGAUGGGUCACCACAAUCCUCAAUAAAAUUUUCGAUAAAGGAUUACAUAACUAAUAUUACUUGUUAAUGAUUUAUUUAAAAUACGUAAAACAGAUGGGUCACCACAAUCCUUAAUAAAAUUUUCGAUAAAAGAUUACAUAACUAAUAUCACUUGUUAAUGAUUGAUUUAAAAUACGUAAAACAGAUGGGUCACCACAAUUCUUAAUAAAUUUUUUGAUAAAAGAUUACAUAACUAAUACUACUUGUUAAUGAUUGAUUUAAAAUGCGUAAAACAGAUGGAUCACCACCCUCUUGAUCCGGGGCCCUUCGACCGAGAGUUAUUGUAUCUUCAGCCCGAGCAUAGGUCGCAACAUAUAUGGACAUCCGACCUGCAGCCUGAGUCUCAGGUCCGUACCCGGUUAGGGGACUCAGCAUGGGAGAUCUUAGCUGCUCGCCCCCCACAUCCUCGUGUCCUAGAUAUACUACGUCGGGGCGGUAUCUACCGGUGCGUCGAAGUUGGUCGGAUACACCACGAUACGUCGCUAGUGACGGCAUUGAUUGAGAGGUGGCGACCAGAGACGUACACAUUUCAUCUCCGCACCGGUGAGGCUACCAUUACCCUUCAGGAUGUGGAGGUCAUUUAUGGGCUACAAGUUGAUGGACGCCCAUUGUAUAUUAAGGAGCCUCCUGUGCUGCCGCCUUACCGAGAUGAGUUGACUAGGCUCGCCGGUUUCGCGGCUCUGGACGGUCACAUUUCCGCCCAGAGUCGGCUUUUGUUAUCGGCCCUUUACGCUCACUUGCGCCUCACAGACAUGCAACAUUCGAUUGGAGAGGACACGCCUCAGGCUGAUGUUGACCGACGCGCGCGUCUAUACCUACUCAUCAUAUUCGGGGCCAUCCUGUUCCCGAACACUUCGGGUUCGCAUUUGAGCUUGAGGUAUCUUCGGUAUAUCGACGAUCUCGCCGAGAUAGAAUGUUAUAGUUGGGGCGCUGCUGUGCUGGGCUACAUGUAUUGAGGAUUAUGCCGAUGUUCUAUGGGCACGAGGGUAGAGGUCCCUGCAUUUUGCUUGCUCCUUCAGAUAUGGGUGUGGACUAGGUUGAGACAUUUUCAGCCCAUACCAGCUGACCCUCCCGCUGACUAUCUUACUGUGCUGAUGCCAUACGCGCGGAGAUGGUCGCGAGGCGUUCGCUGACGUGCGGAGACGCAUCACAGCUUUCUCCCGUUUAGGGAUCAGCUAGACUGCAUGACGACGCAGAUGGCUUUCAUAUGGACGCCGUAUGAUCAUAUUUUGGAUGAGCUGCCGGCGUUUUGUAGGGCUGGUCAGCACAUGUGGAUGUCGCGGUGUCUAUUGAUACAUAUGGAUAUCGUUGAGUAUCACGCGCCCGACCGCGUGUUACGGCAGUUUGGGUAUGUACAGAAUAUACCCGCGGCUACGGUUUGGGAGCAUGACCACUAUGCGAGGGACGAGCGUGCGGGCGUCGAUGAUGCAUGGCGACUCUAUAUGCAGCAGCAGGUCCAGAGUUGGGAUGUGAGGAUGACGAGCCUAGCGGUGGUCGGACAUGACACUCCGAUCCAUGUGUAAAUUGAAUGGUACAUGCAGAUCACUCGCAUCAUUAUUGCCAACCUCUCUAGGCAUCGUCCAGAUGGCCUAGGAUAUGUAGCUCUCGCAGGAGUGUACGAGGCGCUGGUACGGACCGUUUAGACGAUGCGCUAUGAGAGCACUAUCCGUACGGAGGCCCCCGAGACAGCGGAGUAUGCAGCACAGAUGAUUGAGCUUGCCGAGACUGGUAUGAGACAGGCACAUGACUUUGCGCGUCUCCAUGAGCGUGUGCCCGCUGCCCCACCUGGGGCAGCAGGUGGUCGUGGUCGCCGAAGAGUUGGUGGUCGUUGUAGAGGUGGUAGGGCUGGCAGAGGUGACAAGGCUCCGUCGACUUCAGAGAUUCCGCUGAGUUUUUAUCAGCCGGCGACUACAGAUAUCCCAUCGACUUCUCAUUCCAGGCCGUUGACUUCACAGACGCCUCUGUAUACGCCGGAACCUUUUUCAGAUUAUGUGACCUGGCCUUCAUUUCCAUAUCCAGUAGUUCGUGAUCCACAGGGUGAGCGGCCGGUUCGUGAUCUACAGGGUGGCCUACAUCUGCACUUCGACGACUCCAUGUUUGAGGACUUCAUAUUUGAUACGGCACCAUCUGCAUCUCCUGCACCGGAGGCUGCUCAGGAGCCUUCUCACCAGGCAUUUCAGGAGGCCGUCGACACACAAGUUUGAUUUUUACACUAAAAUAAAAUAAUUUAUUAAUUAUUUGUUUAUUUCAGGUUAAAUCUAAUCUAAAUUAUUUAUAUAUUAUUUCAAGUUCAUUCUGUUAGGUGUGGAAUUGGCCAAACAAGUCAAUUCUUUUGUUCACAUAGUCGUGAUGUAAGCGCUUACCUCAUAAUAGUUGUGAUGUAAGCGCUUACCUCAUCAUAGGAAAUUCAUUCCUAUAAAUAGGUAGCUUAUGGUUCAUUUGUAAGAUAUCAUCAAGAUCAUUUGCUAAACACAUCCCAAAGAGAGAGAAAAAAAAAAUCUAAGAGAAAUACUCUUAGUGAAAGGCCUAAGUAAGAGAAGGUCUUUGAGAGAAUUUUCUGUGGUAAAAUUCUUGAGUGUAAUUGGGAUUGGGGUUGUGAGGUUGAGUGUUGUAAACACUUAUAAUAUUUCUUCUUUAAUAAGAUCUGCAGCAGCAACGUGGACGUAGCUCUCACAUUGAGGGUGAACCACUAUAAAUCUGUGUGUGCUAUUUAUUCUUCGCUUACAUCACGGCGUAAGUAGGUUCUGUCUAAGGAGGUUGGUAUUUAAGUGGUCCAGCUGUGACCCUCCAAUCUUUCGUGGGAACCUGCUUACAAAGGUCGGAUUUGGGAUUCAAAUCCUAACAACUGGUAUCAGAGCAACAGGUUGUGUUGUGAUUUAGAAACGAUGGGAGGCGAAGAUGGUACGACGCACGGCAUCGGUAAAUUCGAUGGUGCAGACUUUGCGUUCUGGAGAAUGCAAAUUGAAGAUUAUUUAUAUGGCAGAAAGCUUCAUGAACCUCUGAGUCCGAAACCAGAGGAGAUGAAGCAAGCAGAUUGGAAUCUCCUCGACAGACAAGUUCUGGGAGUCAUUCGGCUGACGCUGUCAAAGAACGUUGCUCACAAUGUGGCAAAGGAGAAGACCACUGCAGAUAUGAUGAAGGUAUUGUCUGACAUGUAUGAGAAACCUUCGGCAAAUAAUAAGGUAUUUCUCAUGAAGAAACUAUUUCAUCUAAAGAUGAUGGAAAAUGCUCAUGUUGCUGCACACGUAAAUGAAUUCAAUACCAUUGUAAAUCAAUUGUCAUCGGUAAAAAUUGACUUCGA